ACAGAGGAUGGCAUCACAGGGUGCAGGGAUAAGAUGCUCACACGGAGAGACUGGAAACACGAGCUGAGCGCAGGGGUGAGAAGCCAGUGAUAAGAACUGCAAACCGUCUUUGGGUGUGAGCUUUCUGGUGUCAGUGAGACCAGUGAGGGGCAGUGACAAGGAAUGAGCUCCUGGCUUCCUGGGUGUGAAGGUUAAUUAAGCAAGAAAAGAAAAGGAACCGAAGUCAGAGGGUGGUCCUGACUCCUGCUGGGAAGGUGUUUCCCACAUUCCUCAGUGGGUUUUGCUGUAAGUUCCUCUGUGUGAUUCUUUGUUUCUGAACAGAAGCCAACACUGUCGUUUUAUUUAUUUAUCAUUCAUUCAUUCAUUUAAAUUAUGUCAGUCUCCUCUUUAUAUAAAUGAGAAUCCAGUGCUCUCCCAUGCCUAACGCACUCCUUCCCAUGACCCCAAGAUGUUUAUAUCAUGACCUUUGCUUACAACAGUGGUCUGGUGUUCAUUCGUACAACCACAUAAAUUCUUUAUUUAAAUGUCA
Alexandromys fortis (reed vole) is the source of this 529-nucleotide long non-coding RNA. RefSeq lists it as uncharacterized. The transcript has 2 exons. NCBI's taxonomy places the organism in Eukaryota, Metazoa, Chordata, Mammalia, Rodentia, Cricetidae. The record is from RefSeq and is a predicted model, not a curated record.